GACGAACGCUGGCGGCGUGCCUAAUACAUGCAAGUCGAACGAAGCUUUUUUAACUGGUGCUUGCACCGACUUAAACAACUGAGUGGCGAACGGGUGAGUAACACGUGGGUAACCUGCCCCAAAGCGGGGGAUAACAUUUGGAAACAGAUGCUAAUACCGCAUAACCACAGAAACCACAUGGUUUCUGUGUCAAAGAUGGUUUCGGCUAUCACUUUGGGAUGGACCAGCGGCGUAUUAGCUAGUUGGUAAGGUAAUGGCUUACCAAGGCAAUGAUACGUAGCCGAACUGAGAGGUUGAUCGGCCACAUUGGGACUGAGACACGGCCCAAACUCCUACGGGAGGCAGCAGUAAGGAAUCUUCCACAAUGGACGAAAGUCUGAUGGAGCAACGCCGCGUGAGUGAAGAAGGUUUUCGGAUCGUAAAACUCUGUUGUCAGAGAAGAACGUGUGCGAGAGUAACUGUUCGUGCAGUGACGGUAUCUGGCCAGAAAGCCACGGCUAACUACGUGCCAGCAGCCGCCGUAA
This 524-nucleotide ribosomal RNA is filed under the name uncultured bacterium. RNAcentral's name for it is "partial 16S ribosomal RNA". It matches the Rfam family "Bacterial small subunit ribosomal RNA", at positions 28 to 523 of the family's 1533-position model. The record is from RNAcentral.